AUUGAACGCUGGCGGCAGGCCUAACACAUGCAAGUCGAGCGGUAGCACAGGGAGCUUGCUCCUGGGUGACGAGCGGCGGGCGGGUGAGUAAUGUCUGGGAAACUGCCUGAUGGAGGGGGAUAACUACUGGAAACGGUAGCUAAUACCGCAUAACGUCGCAAGACCAAAGAGGGGGACCUUCGGGCCUCUUGCCAUCAGAUGUGCCCAGAUGGGAUUAGCCAGUAGGUGGGGUAAUGGCUCACCUAGGCGACGAUCCCUAGCUGGUCUGAGAGGAUGACCAGCCACACUGGAACUGAGACACGGUCCAGACUCCUACGGGAGGCAGCAGUGGGGAAUAUUGCACAAUGGGCGCAAGCCUGAUGCAGCCAUGCCGCGUGUAUGAAGAAGGCCUUCGGGUUGUAAAGUACUUUCAGCGGGGAGGAAGGUGUUGAGGUUAAUAACCUCAGCAAUUGACGUUACCCGCAGAAGAAGCACCGGCUAACUCCGUGCCAGCAGCCGCCGUAA
Molecule: ribosomal RNA, 504 nt
Filed under: uncultured bacterium
Lineage: Bacteria
Description: partial 16S ribosomal RNA
Rfam family: Bacterial small subunit ribosomal RNA
Source: RNAcentral